GCUUCCAGUGAGGACGUUGCCGGCUCCCCGGAGCGCCACUACACGCCCUUGCCUUCUGCUUCCAGGGAACUCACCAGUCACCAAGAUGAAGUUUCAUUCUUGUCGCCCAGGCUGGAGUGCAGUGGCACGUUCUCAGCUCACUGCAACCUCCGCCUCCCCGGCUCAAGUGAUUCUCCUGUCUCAGCCUCCCAAGUAGCUGGAAAUACAGGCAUGUGCCACCAUGCCCAGCUAAUUUUGUAUUUUUAGUAAAGAUGGGGUUUCUUCAUGUGUGUCCUGGGGAAGUGUCGCUACGUUUACUAUGGGAAAAACUCAGAAGGCAACAGGUUUAUCCGAGAUGACCAGCUCUGAAGCCAAGUUCUGUAUACCUUCACCCAUUUCACGAAAAUAAAAUCAAAAGGGAAGUCAAAAAUAAAGAAAAUGCUAAAG
Molecule: small RNA, 426 nt
Filed under: Pongo abelii (Sumatran orangutan)
Lineage: Eukaryota; Metazoa; Chordata; Mammalia; Primates; Hominidae
Description: processed transcript
Source: RNAcentral